GUAAAUAUGUGUGCGUGUGUUGGUCUGUGUGUGUGGUGUGGGUGUGUGUGUGUGUGUCUCAAUUAUUUCUGUCCUAUGCAAUUCACACCCACACAACACACAAAAACACGCAGACACACCAGAAUAUAUAUAUUAGGUAUUAUAUAUAUUAUAUAUAUAUAUCUAUAUAUAUAUAAAUAUAU
Penaeus monodon (black tiger shrimp) is the source of this 182-nucleotide small nucleolar RNA. RefSeq annotates it as small nucleolar RNA SNORA23. The record is from RefSeq and is a predicted model, not a curated record. Lineage: Eukaryota; Metazoa; Arthropoda; Malacostraca; Decapoda; Penaeidae. The transcript has a single exon.